This 2425-nucleotide long non-coding RNA is filed under the name Pan troglodytes (chimpanzee). RNAcentral describes it as "long non-coding RNA NONPTRT002929". Lineage: Eukaryota; Metazoa; Chordata; Mammalia; Primates; Hominidae. The record is from RNAcentral.
GACCCGGACAGGCCCCUUUACCUCUCUCGUGCCCAUCUCCUUAGCUGUAAAAUAGGAAAAUGGCCUUUCACUUCUAUAAUCACUGUGAAAAUGAAUGGAAGAUGCCGUUCAAAGGCCGAGGCCAGCGCCCUGACGGCCCAUGGCAUGUGCAGUCCACAAUGUGGGAGGCAGGAUGCAGGGGAUGGGCUCUGUCCCCUUGGAACUCAGGGCACAGGCAUGGGGGUGCCAGGCAGCCCUGAAGACAAGCUGAUGAGGGUGCACUAGGAAAAGUGCAGGGCAUCGGCGAGGCACACGAAGGAGGUGGGGAGGUGAAGAUGGAGAAGAAGCCGAGGCAGUGGCCAUGGGUGUGGAGCCUCGCGCCGUGGGUGCCCAGCUGGUCUGGGAAACCGCAAGAAAUCCCGCAGCUCAGGUGCGCAGUGGGAAGGACUUGCUAUUCCGUGGGAAGGCAGGCGAACCUUCCCAGGGAAGGGGCAUGGCCGUGCGCCUCAUGUUUUGGGAAGCUCGUGCCCUCUGGGGUAGCGAGGCCAGCUUGGAGGGGAGUCCAGUGGACAGAGGUGGAUGCAAGUGGAGGGAGCUGAGCCUGGGCUGGGGCUGGCGGCAAAGGGCUGGACAGCAGGGCGCCUGCGUGGCAGCUGUGCAGUCAGUGGGGUUGACUGGUUUGGAAGGUAAGGUGAGGGAGAAGCCCGGAGGAUUCCUGUCCCUUGACUUGGACAGCCCAGUGGAGAGCACUGUGUACCAAGAGCAGGAAACCAGGGAGAAGAAGAUGUUGACUUUAAGAUACCAAGCAGAGAAGGGAAGAGCCUUCUGGGCUGGAGACGUGGGGUGCCUCAGAAGGGAGGACCUUGAGCUAGCAGCACAUGGGACAAACGCAGGGGACAGGGCACAGCCGUGGCAGGAGUGCAGCGAGCAAGAUUCUGGUCACAGUCCUGACCCAGAAACCUGCAGAGGAAGGGAGGGUGGCCAGCACCUGCCCAUGGGCCUGGGGUGCAGCCCAGGCGGAGGUGGAGGGGGUGCUCAGGGAAGAGGGGAGAGGAGUGUGUGACCUCAAAAUGGGAGGGCUUGGGGGUCAGAGUCGAGAGAGGGGACAGGGUGGGGACCAUGUGGGACUCUUGAGCACUGACCCUUGAACCCAGGCAGUGGUGGGAUGGGAGGGCAGGAGGCGGCAGGCUGCGAGGCUGAUGCGGGGCUGCACGGAGCUGUCAUUGAGCCUCUUGGAGGAUGGCGGGAGAAGUGCCAGGGGCGGCUGAAAGCCUUGCCGAGCCUGUGGGCAGCCUGGUUGUGGGCACUUCGGAUGCUUGCACCAUUAGACCCAGAGGCUUCCUGGACGAGCCUGGGCUGGAAGAGGAUGGCAGAGGCUGCUGGGCCUUGGAAGAGAGAGGGUCCUGGCUUCUAGUUCCUGGGGCAGCUAAGGCCAACCCCAGUGUCCAGGUGUCUUCCAUGUUAUGCCUGGGAGGGAAGAAAGUAGAGGGGCAAAUGCUUUCUUUGCCUAUUUUCCUUAAACAUUUGGUGGCAGUGCUGGUGGCUGCCUGGGAUAGGGGCCAGGAGGAAACACACCUGCAUUAGGGAAGCCCUCAGCCAGCUUUUCCCUGGGAUGUUCCUGCGCCUGGCUGAAGCUUUCUGAGUUCAUGUUGGGGAAAUGGAACGGUCACCUUCCAGCCAGUAAAGGCACCCCUAGCUCUUGGGAUGUUUGUAUCCAACUCCGGGCAAUGUGGGGCUACAAAGGCCCCUGGCUUCCACACCCUGGGGACCGGGGGAGGGCUGGUGCUCCCGCGGUGGGUGUCCACGGUGAGGUCAGGCCCCCACAGCAGGUGCAUUCUCGCCCUCAGCAGGCAGGCAAGCAGGCAUCAGCUCCGGCGCUGGUCUCUGGCUUCGAAGUCUGUGUCUUUGCCUGUCUGUACUCAUGCCUGACCUGCUGGCGCUCCCUGUCCACUGCACUCCUCCCACCUCAUUUUUAUGUGAUUUUGCACAGUGCCUGGCAGACAUUUGACAUUCAAUAAACAUUAUACGAACGAAAGAAUCAAUCCCCCUCUCACUCUCUCUGUCCUUCUCCCUGUGUGCCUCCAUAUAUUUGUGCAUCUUUUGGGAGUCAGGUGACUUUCCCUACCCUCCCCUCUCCCCAUGCUGCCCUGGUCACUGCCCUUGGGACCCCAGCCCAACAGGCCAGUUUAAAAGGAUUGCGGCUUGGCUCAGUGGCUCAUGCUUAUAAUCCCAGUGCUUUGGGAGACUGAGGCAGGAGGAUUGCUUGUGCCCAGGAGCUCAAGGCUGCAGUGAGCCGUGAUUGCACCACUGCACUCCAGCCUGGGUGACAGAGCGAGACCCUGUUUCAAUAAAUAAAUAAAGGAUCAAGACUGAGGGGACUGUAAAGGCCGAGCCUCACUGUGCAUCUGUGUGUGUGUGUGUGAGACUGUGUGCAUAUGUGUUCGUG